This is a long non-coding RNA of Gavialis gangeticus (Gharial), 2233 nucleotides long. RefSeq lists it as uncharacterized. NCBI's taxonomy places the organism in Eukaryota, Metazoa, Chordata, Crocodylia, Gavialidae. The record is from RefSeq and is a predicted model, not a curated record. The transcript is spliced from 3 exons.
CCCACAUUACCCUUCUCCCUCUACCCAACUUUGUCUUGCAGGGACCGGCCAGGCUCCAGGACACAGGCAGGGCAGCGGCCCCCGGGGCAGCGGCUCUUCCCGGCACCCACGUUGUGUCCGGGGCCCCGACCCACGGGCAAAGGACACGUGCCUUUCCCCUAGGUUGUUUUAAAUACUCGGGACGAGGAAGUUUUCCGUGCAAAUGCCCCCGCUUCGCUGUGCUGCAGUUAAAGGACGGGAGAUCCUCUCGGCCGGCUGGCGACGCGCGUUGUGCUGCCUCCAGCCACAUUUAUGCCCACUCGGGGUUUCUAGUGCAAGGAUCUGUCGUUUGCACUAUGCGUGUACGGGCUGCAAAUGUGUCUAAUCUGGGAAGCCGAGGCCGGGGCAUUUGAAAUGAAAACGUCCAGUUAGCCUCAAGGGUCUCUCUCUCUCUCUCUAAAGGGAGAGCCAGAGCCCGGAGGGCAGCGCGCAGCACAGCAAAAGCUGGGAUUGCUAUCAGGAGGUGCCAAUCAAUCCUUCUUUUCAAUACAUCAAUUAAUAAGUGAGACUGGGGGUGAGGGCUGCGCCCCCCCCCCCACCGCGGCACCUCUCUGGGCGGGGGGGGGGGGAAGGGGGCGAGCUGAAGUUCAGAGGAAAGUGUCCUCAAGCAGCACUACACCGGCAUCCAGAGCUGAGCAGACAGAUCCCGAGUGCAGAAAUAAGUGCAAUGCUCACUCCCAGCACAGCCAGGAUCCAGGCCCAGGGAGGCAGCCCGGGGCAGGCGAAGUUUCGGGGCGGCCGUGGUGUAGAUACGGAGGGACAGCGACGCUGGUAGGAGCCCCCCGGGACCGGCUCUGGGGCUCCCGCGUGGCAACACCAACACCGCAUAGUGGAUGCACGGGUGGGAAAUAUUUGUGCAUGGAUAUGUGCGCAGCCACAUGCAUGCACGUGUGUGCGCGCACAUACACAUGCCGAGGACCGGGGCCUGCAAUCCCCCGCGCUUUACAUUUCGUCUGCACUUACUUAAACUACACCCCCUCCCUGCCCCCACCCCACGCGGCUCUAACCCGGGGAAUAAACAUCAUCAUUUUGGUUCUGAACUGCCGCCCGACGUUUUGCGUUUCUCAUAAUUAAAAGGGGCCAGGAUGGUGCAAAACUCCGCCAAUCUGGCGAUCCACGCUAGCGCAGUUGCUUUCUUUGCUGUAGAUCUGCUCUCCACAUACACAGAGGGGGGAGGCGGAGGGCUUUUAUUAGUAGUAUUAUUAUUUAAAGAAAGAAAGAAAGAAACGGGCAAACCUAGAGCAUAAUGGAUUGUGUCGCAGGGGCUCGAUGAUCGCUUUCUAAUUUAGCAAUGACAUCAAUUCUCCUUUCUUUUAAGUGACGCUGAUAAUGCAAAACAAUACAAAUGUUGUGAAUAUUUGUGUAGCUCUAGGAAGCCCCGGGAAGUUCCCAGCCGAGCUGGCUGCCCGUUUGGUGAAGGAUGGCGGAGCUGGGACAGUCGCAGUACAAGUAUAAUAUUGCAGUGUCAGGAGGACCUUGGCUGACAGCCCAGCAGUGUGGGACAUGUUUGUAGAAGAUGAAGCAGAAGAGAUGACAUGAAAGUUAUUUUUGUCUAUCAGCUGAAGCAUUAUAGAGACAUCAACAAGCUCUUGUCUCAUGCCAGCUUAAUUCCUAGUUAAUCAGCAGUCUGCUUGGGCAAAGGAAGAAAUUCACGUUGGGGCUGCUGAUGAGCCAAACUUCCCGGCGAGGAUUUGGGAGCCUGAGGGAGUCCUGAUCGCUGGUUUAAUGCUAGCUUGGAUGUGCUGCUGCUCGCAGUGUGCAGCGUCCCUGGAAGAGUUACAUGCCUUUCUGCGACAAUGAUUCCAUAGCUGCCACAAUUGCAUUCAGCCUUGAGGUCACAAGCAGCUUUUGAGACCUCUCUGAGAUCUUCCCCAACUAAGCAGGUCCCUCAGGUUGAAUGACUGGGGAGCAGAUCCCAGGACCACUCUGGGGAAUACUGAAGAGCCAGACCAUCUGUGGGGCAACAACUAGGAUCCUUCAUUUUCAAGGAAGGAAAGAAGGUGUCUGGCCCUGGUUUCCUUCUCCCUCUUCAUGUACUGAAGAUGAUUUGGUUCCACAUUGCAAUGGAUGCUGUGGUGGGAUAGGACUUUGCUACAGCUCCUUCUCCAUUUUAAAAAAAAUAUUUUUCCUUCUACCACCUUGUCUUUUUUUGCCUUGAGGAUGUUGUCAAUAAAAAGUACAAUGUGUAAUGCUU